This 541-nucleotide ribosomal RNA is filed under the name uncultured bacterium. Its description in RNAcentral is "bacterial SSU rRNA". It matches the Rfam family "Bacterial small subunit ribosomal RNA", at positions 384 to 917 of the family's 1533-position model. The record is from RNAcentral.
UGAUCAGCCAUUCCGCGUGAGUGAAGAAGGCCUUCGGGUUGUAAAGCUCUUUCAGCCGGAAAGAAACGGUACGGUCUAACAUAGCGUGCUAAUGACGGUACCGGCAGAAGAAGCACCGGCUAACUACGUGCCAGCAGCCGCGGUAAUACGUAGGGUGCGAGCGUUAAUCGGAAUUACUGGGCGUAAAGCGUGCGCAGGCGGAUUAUUAAGCAAGACGUGAAAGCCCCGGGCUUAACCUGGGAAUGGCGUUUUGAACUGGUAGUCUAGAGUGCGUCAGAGGGGGGUGGAAUUCCACGUGUAGCAGUGAAAUGCGUAGAGAUGUGGAGGAACACCGAUGGCGAAGGCAGCCCCCUGGGAUGACACUGACGCUCAUGUACGAAAGCGUGGGUAGCAAACAGGAUUAGAUACCCUGGUAGUCCACGCCCUAAACGAUGUCAACUGGUUGUUGGGGGAGUGAAAUCCCUUAGUAACGAAGCUAACGCGUGAAGUUGACCGCCUGGGGAGUACGGUCGCAAGAUUAAAACUCAAAUGAAUUGACGGA